AGCAUAUCAAUAAGCGGAGGAAAAGAAACCAACAGGGACUGCCUCAGUAACGGCGAGUGAAGCGGCAACAGCUCAGAUUUGGAAUCUGACCCUGGUAUCGGGGUCCGAGUUGUAGUCUGGAGAGGAUGCUUCAGGGGAGAGUUGGGUCCAAGUUCCUUGGAACAGGGCGUCGGAGAGGGUGAGAGUCCCGUCUGCGGCCUGAUCUCGCCCCCUAGGUGAAGCUCCCUCGACGAGUCGAGUUGUUUGGGAAUGCAGCUCAAACUAGGUGGUAAAUCUCAUCUAAAGCUAAAUAACCGCCAGAGACCGAUAGCGCACAAGUAGAGUGAUCGAAAGAUGAAAAGCACUUUGAAAAGAGAGUUAAACAGCACGUGAAAUUGUUGAAAGGGAAGCGCUCGCGAUCAGACUUGCCCGCGGUUCCUCAGCCGACGGUUCUCCGCCGGCGCACUGAGCCUCGGGCAGGCCAGCAUCGGUCCAGGUGGUGGAAGAAGGACCCUGGGAAUGUAGCUCCCUUUCGGGUGCGUUAUAGCCUAGGGUGCAACGUCGCCGCCAGGACCGAGGCCCGCGCUCCGGCAAGGAUGCUGGCGUAAUGGUCGCCAGCGACCCGUCUUGAAACACGGACCAAGGAGUCUAACGUCCGCGCGAGUGUUUGGGUGACAAACCCCAACGCGUAAUGAAAGUGAACGGAGGUGGGAACCCGCAUGGGUGCACCAUCGACCGAUCCUGAAGUCUUCUGAUGGAUUUGAGUACGAGCGUGGCUGUUGGGACCCGAAAGAUGGUGAACUAUGCCUGAAUAGGGUGAAGCCAGAGGAAACUCUGGUGGAGGCUCGCAGCGGUUCUGACGUGCAAAUCGAUCGUCAAAUUUGGGUAUAGGGGCGAAAGACUAAUCGAACCAUUGCUGCUAGGUGGUUAACAGGCGGGUGAGACAUCCUGGCCUAGUCCCUGCUCACAGGGGCGACACUGUCAAAUUGCGGGGACACCCUUAGAGCUAGACCCAUGACACGGUCCAAGAUUGGGCGAUCCGCAGCCAACCCCCAGGGGCCUUGGAUGCUCUGGGGAGGGGUUCACAGACUAGAUGGCAGUGGGCCGGCCCUUUUGGGGGCGGCCUAAGGUAUAGUCGGGCCGCCGGGAGACCGGUCGGGGGUUCAUGGUCCCCGCCCGUAGUGGGCGGCCCCAGGGCGCGCUGGCCCUCGGGCCGUGGCGGGUGCCACGUCCCUCCGGGGGGUUAACCGUACCGCGGGUGGUGGUAGCCCCAGGAAGAAUCGCUAGUAGCUGGUUCCUGCCGAAGUUUCCCUCAGGAUAGCAGUAACGUGUGGCAGUUUUAUGAGGUAAAGCGAAUGAUUAGAGGCCUUGGGGUUGAAACAACCUUAACCUAUUCUCAAACUUUGAAUAUGUAAGAAGUCCUUGUUGCUCAGUUGAACGUGGACAUUCGAAUGUACCGUUACUAGUGGGCCAUUUUUGGUAAGCAGAACUGGCGAUGCGGGAUGAACCGAACGCGGGGUUAAGGUGCCGGAAUGCACGCUCAUCAGACACCACAAAAGGUGUUGGUUCAUCUAGACAGCAGGACGGUGGCCAUGGAAGUCGGAACCCGCUAAGGAGUGUGUAACAACUCACCUGCCGAAUGAACUAGCCCUGAAAAUGGAUGGCGCUCAAGCGUGCUACCCAUACCCCGCCGCCAGGGUAGGAACGAUGCCCUAGCGAGUAGGCAGGCGUGGGGGUCCGUGACGAAGCCUCGGGAGUGAUCCUGGGUCGAACGGCCCCUAGUGCAGAUCUUGGUGGUAGUA
RNAcentral lists this ribosomal RNA (1781 nucleotides) under Peltula brasiliensis. RNAcentral describes it as "LSU rRNA". It matches the Rfam family "Eukaryotic large subunit ribosomal RNA", at positions 37 to 1462 of the family's 3401-position model. Lineage: Eukaryota; Fungi; Ascomycota; Lichinomycetes; Lichinales; Phylliscaceae. The record is from RNAcentral.